This 413-nucleotide ribosomal RNA is filed under the name uncultured bacterium. Its description in RNAcentral is "bacterial SSU rRNA". It matches the Rfam family "Bacterial small subunit ribosomal RNA", at positions 505 to 916 of the family's 1533-position model. The record is from RNAcentral.
GUGUCAGCCGCCGCGGUAAAACGUAGGAGGCGAGCGUUAUCCGGAUUUACUGGGUGUAAAGCGCGUGCAGGCGGCCGGUCAAGUUGGAUGUGAAAGCUCCUGGCUCAACCGGGAGAGGACGUUCAAAACUGACCGGCUGGAGCAUGGUAGGGGAAGGUGGAAUUCCGGGUGGAGUGGUGAAAUGCGUAGAGAUCCGGAGGAACACCAGUGGCGAAGGCGGCCUUCUAGACCAUGUCUGACGCUCAGACGCGAAAGCUAGGGUAGCAAACGGGAUUAGAGACCCCGGUAGUCCUAGCCGUAAACGAUGUGAACCAGGCGCGUGGCCGGUCAAACGGCUGCGUGCCGCAGCAAACGCGAUCAGUUCACCACCUGGGGACUACGGCCGCAAGGCUAAAACUCAAAGGAAUUGACGG